AGAGUUUGAUCCUGGCUCAGGAUGAACGCUGGCGGCGUGCCUAACACAUGCAAGUCGAGCGAUCUUCUUCGGAAGAGAGCGGCGGACGGGUGAGUAACGCGUGGGUAACCUGCCUCAUACACGUGGAUAACAUACCGAAAGGUAUGCUAAUACAAGAUGAUAUAAGAGAUUCGCAUGGAUUUCUUAUCAAAGCUCCGGCGGUAUGAGAUGGACCCGCGUCUGAUUAGCUAGUUGGUAAGGUAACGGCUUACCAAGGCGACGAUCAGUAGCCGACCUGAGAGGGUGAUCGGCCACAUUGGAACUGAGACACGGUCCAAACUCCUACGGGAGGCAGCAGUGGGGAAUAUUGCACAAUGGGCGAAAGCCUGAUGCAGCAACGCCGCGUGAGCGAUGAAGGCCUUCGGGUCGUAAAGCUCUGUCCUCAAGGAAGAUAAUGACGGUACUUGAGGAGGAAGCCCCGGCUAACUACGUGCCAGCAGCCGCGGUAAUACGUAGGGGGCUAGCGUUAUCCGGAUUUACUGAGCGUAAAGGGUGCGUAGGUGGUUUCUUAAGUCAGGAGUGAAAGGCUACGGCUCAACCGUAGUAAGCUCUUGAAACUGGGAAACUUGAGUGCAGGAGAGGAAAGUGGAAUUCCUAGUGUAGCGGUGAAAUGCGUAGAUAUUAGGAGGAACACCAGUAGCGAAGGCGGCUUUCUAGACUGUAACUGACACUGAGGCACGAAAGCGUGGGGAGCAAACAGGAUUAGAUACCCUGAUAGUCCACGCCGUAAACGAUGAGUACUAGGUGUCGGGGGUUACCCCCCUCGGUGCCGCAGCUAACGCAUUAAGUACUCCGCCUGGGGAGUACGCUCGCAAGAGUGAAACUCAAAGGAAUUGACGG
Molecule: ribosomal RNA, 879 nt
Filed under: uncultured bacterium
Lineage: Bacteria
Description: bacterial SSU rRNA
Rfam family: Bacterial small subunit ribosomal RNA
Source: RNAcentral